This 331-nucleotide ribosomal RNA is filed under the name uncultured bacterium. Its description in RNAcentral is "bacterial SSU rRNA". It matches the Rfam family "Bacterial small subunit ribosomal RNA", at positions 75 to 422 of the family's 1533-position model. The record is from RNAcentral.
UUGAGCAAUCAAGGGAGUGGCGGACGGGUGAGUAACACGUGGGUACCUACCCCAAGGUGAGGAAUACCGGCGAGAAAUCGCCGACAAUACCGCAUAGGCUUCGUAAGAAGCAAAGCUCGCAAGGGCGCCAUGGGAAGGGCCUGCGGCCGAUUAGCUAGUUGGUGAGGUAAAAGCUCACCAAGGCGACGAUCGGUAGCUGGUCUGAGAGGAUGAUCAGCCACACUGGGAUUGAGAACGGCCCAGACUCCUACGGGGGGCAGCAGUGAGGAAUUUUCGUCAAUGGGGGCAACCCUGAACGAGCAACGCCGCGUGCAGGAAGAAGGUUUUCGGA